GUUUCCUCUUCCCUGUAACCAUCUUGAUUUUAACUUCCAUGGCAUUGUGAAUCGUCAGCAGUCAAUCGAAACCCUUAAAAAUUCAUGACCGAUGUUGAAGAUUUAGAGAUGUUUUAGUUGGAAAUACCCAUAUGGGUUUUUGAUGAAAUUGAUCGAAACCUUCAAUACAUCUUCCUGUUGUUCAGGUAUCAUACGAUUCUUCAAGACUUAAAAGUUCAUUCAUUCAUUCAGGUAUCAUACUUCAAUUUUAUUAAUUUGUUCUUCAAAUUCAAUUGGUUAGUUCCAUUGAUUAACAGCUUGAUAUUUUUCACUCCAGCUUUGCUAAGUUGAUUUUGAUUACUUUAGCUGAUAGAAUGUUUGGUACUUCAUCACCAGCCACUCAUGGUUAUCAAAGUGUCUGAGAUACUAACAACUUAUCGGCCUAUGAGUUGAGCAUGGUUGGCUCAUAACUUUUUAUAUCUUACACAAGUGUGAUGGGUAAAGAAAACACCAAACAGCCACAGCUUAGCUUAUAACUUAUCCUUUUAAAAGUUUAAGUAAUUUUAACUUAGAAUAUGAUGCCACUAGAAUGGAAACUUUUGCAAAUUUGAGUCUGAUUUCGAUGCUUUUAGUGAACGAGUUAGAAUGAGCUACUUCAAAAACAAGCCAAACUUAUCAUUGAAUUUUGUCUGUGUAAAAGUUUUUGCAAAAAAAUAACUUUUACAUCGUAUGAAGCUCGAGCUCGAGCUCGAGCUCGACUCGGUUGGACCCUACUUAUUUGAGCUCGAGCUCGGCUCGCAAAUAAAAUCAAAAGCUUGGGCUCGGCUCGGUUCAACCAUACUAAUAAGUAAAUAGAUAAAUAUAUUUUUCCUUAGGUAAUCAAUCUUGUUCCAACUAAUAUAAAACUGACAAUGAAAAUUCAACAAUUUGAUCCCUAAAAUAAUUUUUAUCCACAAAUACUAAAAAUCGUGACUUCAAACAACAAUAAUCAACAAUUUACUUUCAAAAAUACAAAUAUAAACACUCCUUAAAAUGCCAAUUAUCUUUUCUUUUUGUUCACUUUUUUAUAUAGCUGCACAAUAUCAUAUGAUCACUUGGAAGAAGAGAAAAUACUGUUAGAAGAGAGAGAGAAAAUGAAAAAUGUCUAAGCUAUCCUUCUACUUAUCAUUAUUUAUUGAGGUGGCAUUUUCUAAUUGGUUCUUACGGUUCUCGCAGCUGGGAUUAGUUUUCUCUUGAGCCGUAUCCUAUACAUACAUAUAUAUAGGCACAUCCUCCACAUCCUAUGCCCAUCCCCUUUAGGCCCAUACUCACACCCGCUUACGUGUGUACGCCUACGUGAUGGAGCAUCCUUUGAGGACUGCCCUCCUCCGCCUCAAGUACUCUUAUACACUAACUAGUCUAGUGGCUAGGAUGGAUAAGAAACCACCAUUCUUGUUGGAACUUUAAUCUUUUAAUUCAUGUGGUAAUUGUAUGUAGUCAAAGUCAAACUAUUUAUAAGUGUUAGUAUUGGUCAAACUAAUAGUCUGUUUAUUUAUAUGCAUGGGCUAGUAUGUAUUAAAGGGCCUUAGAAGUUGCAAGUCCAGGUCAUUUACGUAUCUAGGUUUAAGUAUGGUCAAAUUCGACCUAUGCAUGUUAACAGCAAUUAUGUAAUAUAAUAAAGUCACAAUUGAUGGCAAUUGUAUUACGAUUAUACAAUAACUAUUAUAUACAUAAUUGGAUAGCUCUAUAAAAAGGGAUUAUGUGAUAUGGUUAUGUAUGCUUGAUUUGACACCCCCUGCAUAAUUGUUUACUCGGCUUGUACUCAAGCAAGACAUUUACUCGCACAGGUACUUACUGCUAGAAUUUUUUGUUCGUGACUGACACCAUUAUCCAUUGUUACCUUUCUAGAGUUUUUAAAGAAUAUCUUUGAAUCUGUAUUAUGUUUUCAAAGUGUUGCUGCAUGGCUGGCACAAGAAAUGAACUUGGGGAGGGAGUUGGUUAUACAAUUUGGUUUGAAGAUGUGAUAAAUUCAAUGAUUUGAAGUUCAAAUAAUCUUAACAUGUAUAAACCAAAAAAAUUAAAAAAUUGAAGAAACCAAGUUGUCGCGCUACUCUUUCACACGACAAUGCUGAAACCCUAAUUGUCCCUCCCAAGCUGUCGCGCUCAAGAGUGAUGUCAAUUUAUGAUAAAGUACACCCACUUUCCUGGACGAGGAGCCAAUGGGGGAUAUUGAUGUACUUGUCUUUUUAACCGGUGAAGAUGAUAUUGAUACUGCAGUUCGGUUAAUCAGAGAAGAAGCCCAAAACAGUGACAAGGUUUCUUUAGGAGUCUCCGAAUAAGGAUGCGCAUACGUUCGUCAGAUGGUUGCAAGUUGUUCAGAUUCAAAAAAAGAGGAGAAUCCUUGAGCAGCGGUUGAAGGUUCUGCCUUCCUUGAACCAGUCUACCACUCAAUGGGACCAUGCUCUCUUUUCUAGUCCAUAAUGGUUGAAAAGGUGUGAAAAUCGGAUUCACCUCCUCACACCAGUCCAUAUAAAAGAUAUCUAGAAGUUAUAAUGUUACAGGUGAAGAAGAGACGAAUAUAUGAUAUGACAAAUGUUCUUGAAGGCAUUGGUCUUAUUGGAAAGGAGUCCAAAGCAAUAUCAUGCACACAUAUUAGGGCUCAACGCUUACGGUCGGCAACAAAAAGUUUCCGAAAAAAGUAUGGUCAGGAUGAUUUGUUGAACGAAACCAAUGUGCUGCACCUCUGGACUAAUUAUAGACCAUGGUUGAGUGAAACUCUUGAUGUGAAAAACUCAAUCGUAGGGACCAAUUAGAAUGGUGAUGAGAGACAAGUCCAGGAUCCACCGACUUCACGAGCCAAGCACAACAUGAUCAUCACCAGCUGCCACCAUUCUCCAAAUCUGGAAAAGUUUGUUGGGAGUUUAUCACAGUGGAGAGAAAUUGACACUUAGAAGUGUGCAAUUCAAGUUGAUUAUGAAAUAUAUUGUUGAAUGGACCUGUGUCAAUUGUAAGCAUCAGAGUUUUAUUUUUCAUAUUACUAUGGAAAGUACCUGUCCACCGGACGGUAUAGAACUAGUACUUUUAUUGGUUGUUUGUAAGAUUGAUGUUUAUUAGUUUAAUUAAGAAUCUUAAUUUGUUCACGUAUGUUUCCAUAUUGCUUUGGUAUUUGUUUGUACAUAUUGAAUAUUUUUAUCUACAUAUAGUGUGGUUAAUGU
Molecule: long non-coding RNA, 3173 nt
Organism: Helianthus annuus (common sunflower)
Lineage: Eukaryota; Viridiplantae; Streptophyta; Magnoliopsida; Asterales; Asteraceae
Exons: 8
Source: RefSeq, a predicted model, not a curated record